Canis lupus familiaris (dog) is the source of this 482-nucleotide long non-coding RNA. RefSeq lists it as uncharacterized. The record is from RefSeq and is a predicted model, not a curated record. The transcript has 2 exons. Lineage: Eukaryota; Metazoa; Chordata; Mammalia; Carnivora; Canidae.
GAAAUGAAGGCCGACGCUCAGCCACUGAGCCACCCAAGUGCCCGGAACCCAGGGAUGCUGGAUUUUGUUGACUUGGUCUACUUACAGAUCCUCAUCAUAUCCUGCUUGGACAGCUGCCACCAUCUCUGGAAUUCUGAUCUCUAAACUCAUCUCUCUUCUAUUCACCUCCUAUGAUGUCACCAGGUUAUCAUUCUACAGCAGAAAUCUGAUCAUGUCAUUCCCACGCAAAACACCUACCCAAAGGAUCUAAAAGUCCUUGGCAUAAUAAGGCAAGUCGUUAGUCAUUCAUCUUUCAACAAAUAUUUACUGGGCGCUGAUUAUGUAUCAAGCUCUAUGCUAGCUGGCUAAGUGUGAAAAGUAUGGUGACAAACUGGAGAGAUGUGCCCUGUACCUUCAUGGAAUUUAUAUUCUAGUAGGGAGACAAAUAAACAACCACAUAAGCAAUAUAAUUAUGACUUGGAUAAACAUGAAAUUGUUAUUAA